Non-coding RNA from Tulasnella sp. JGI-2019a, 94 nucleotides. Lineage: Eukaryota; Fungi; Basidiomycota; Agaricomycetes; Cantharellales; Tulasnellaceae. The record is from the annotation of a GenBank genome assembly.
GCUUAAGUGGGGUAGUGGUAACCUGGGUCGUUGCCAAGCAUUUAAAACAUGCGACGAACUCGACCCGCCCGGCGUUCGAUUCGCCGCUUAAGCA